AUUGAACGCUGGCGGCAGGCUUAACACAUGCAAGUCGAGCGGGGUGAUGGUGCUUGCACUAUCACUUAGCGGCGGACGGGUGGGUAAUGCUUAGGAAUCUGCCUAUUAGUGGGGGACAACAUCUCGAAAGGGAUGCUAAUACCGCAUACGUCCUACGGGAGAAAGCAGGGGAUCACUUGUGACCUUGCGCUAAUAGAUGAGCCUAAGUCGGAUUAGCUAGUUGGUGGGGUAAAGGCCUACCAAGGCGACGAUCUGUAGCGGGUCUGAGAGGAUGAUCCGCCACACUGGGACUGAGACACGGCCCAGACUCCUACGGGAGGCAGCAGUGGGGAAUAUUGGACAAUGGGGGGAACCCUGAUCCAGCCAUGCCGCGUGUGUGAAGAGGGCCUUAUGGUUGUAAAGCACUUUAAGCGAGGAGGAGGCUCUUUUGGUUAAUACCUAAGAUGAGUGGACGUUACUCGCAGAAUAAGCACCGGCUAACUCUGUGCCAGCCGCCGCCGUAA
This 503-nucleotide ribosomal RNA is filed under the name uncultured bacterium. Its description in RNAcentral is "partial 16S ribosomal RNA". It matches the Rfam family "Bacterial small subunit ribosomal RNA", at positions 30 to 523 of the family's 1533-position model. The record is from RNAcentral.